This 600-nucleotide ribosomal RNA is filed under the name uncultured Gammaproteobacteria bacterium. RNAcentral's name for it is "bacterial SSU rRNA". It matches the Rfam family "Bacterial small subunit ribosomal RNA", at positions 54 to 645 of the family's 1533-position model. Lineage: Bacteria; Pseudomonadati; Pseudomonadota; Gammaproteobacteria. The record is from RNAcentral.
CAUGCAAGUCGAACGGCAGCGCGGGGAGCUUGCUCCUUGGCGGCGAGUGGCGGACGGGUGAGUAAUGCAUAGGAAUCUGCCCAGUAGCGGGGGACAACCCGGUGAAAACCAGGCUAAUACCGCAUACGCCCUACGGGGGAAAGCAGGGGAUCUUCGGACCUUGCACUAUUGGAUGAGCCUAUGUCUGAUUAGCUUGUUGGUGGGGUAAAAGCCUACCAAGGCGACGAUCAGUAGCUGGUCUGAGAGGACGAUCAGCCACACUGGGACUGAGACACGGCCCAGACUCCUACGGGAGGCAGCAGUGGGGAAUAUUGCACAAUGGGCGCAAGCCUGAUGCAGCAAUGCCGCGUGUGUGAAGAAGGCCUGCGGGUUGUAAAGCACUUUCAGAAAGGAAGAAAAGCUGAGUAUUAAUACUACUCGGUCUUGACAUUAUAUUCAGAAGAAGCACCGGCUAACUCCGUGCCAGCAGCCGCGGUAAUACGGAGGGUGCGAGCGUUAAUCGGAAUUACUGGGCGUAAAGCGCGCGUAGGCGGUCAGAUAAGUCGGAUGUGAAAUCCCCGGGCUCAACUCGGGAAUGGCAUUCGAUACUGUCUGACUAGA